GAUGAACGCUGGUGGCGUGCCUAAUACAUGCAAGUCGAGCGAACAGACGAGGAGCUUGCUCCUCUGACGUUAGCGGCGGACGGGUGAGUAACACGUGGAUAACCUACCUAUAAGACUGGGAUAACUUCGGGAAACCGGAGCUAAUACCGGAUAAUAUAUUGAACCGCAUGGUUCAAUAGUGAAAGACGGUUUUGCUGUCACUUAUAGAUGGAUCCGCGCCGCAUUAGCUAGUUGGUAAGGUAACGGCUUACCAAGGCAACGAUGCGUAGCCGACCUGAGAGGGUGAUCGGCCACACUGGAACUGAGACACGGUCCAGACUCCUACGGGAGGCAGCAGUAGGGAAUCUUCCGCAAUGGGCGAAAGCCUGACGGAGCAACGCCGCGUGAGUGAUGAAGGUCUUCGGAUCGUAAAACUCUGUUAUUAGGGAAGAACAAAUAUGCAAGUAACUAUGCACGUCUUGACGGUACCUAAUCAGAAAGCCACGGCUAACUACGUG
RNAcentral lists this ribosomal RNA (497 nucleotides) under uncultured bacterium. Its description in RNAcentral is "partial 16S ribosomal RNA". It matches the Rfam family "Bacterial small subunit ribosomal RNA", at positions 28 to 507 of the family's 1533-position model. The record is from RNAcentral.